GUGUCAGCAGCCGCGGUAACACGUAGGAGACAAGCGUUAUCCGGAUUUACUGGGCGUAAAGCGCGUGCAGGCGGUUUGGAAAGUUGGAUGUGAAAGCUCCCGGCUUAACUGGGAGAGGUCAUUCAAAACUUCCAGACUAGAGAGUGGUAGAGGAAGGUGGAAUUCCGGGUGUAGUGGUGAAAUGCGUAGAUAUCCGGAGGAACACCAGUGGCGAAAGCGGCCUUCUGGACCAUUUCUGACGCUCAGACGCGAAAGCUAGGGUAGCAAACGGGAUUAGAGACCCCGGUAGUCCUAGCCGUAAACUAUGUUGACUUGGCGUUGGUGGGUUAAUAUCCGCCAGUGCCGUAGCUAACGCGAUAAGUCAACCGCCUGGGGACUACGAUCGCAAGAUUAAAACUCAAAUGAAUUGACGGGG
This 415-nucleotide ribosomal RNA is filed under the name uncultured prokaryote. RNAcentral's name for it is "bacterial SSU rRNA". It matches the Rfam family "Bacterial small subunit ribosomal RNA", at positions 505 to 918 of the family's 1533-position model. The record is from RNAcentral.